GUAGGUGGCAAGCGUUGUCCGGGAAUUAUUGGGGCGUAAAGCGCGCGCAGGCGGUUCUUUAAGUCUGAUGUGAAAGCCCACGGGCUCAACCGUGGAGGGUCAUUGGAAACUGGAGAACUUGAGUACAGAAGAGGAAAGCGGAAUUCCACGUGUAGCGGUGAGAUGCGUAGAGAUGUGGAGGAACACCAGUGGCGAAGGCGGCUUUCUGGUCUGUAACUGACGCUGAGGCGCAAAAGCGUGGGGAGCAAACAGGAUUAGAUACCCUGGUAGUCCACGCCGUAAACGAUGAGUGCUAAGUGUUAGGGGGUUUCCGCCCCUUAGUGCUGCAGCUAACGCAUUAAGCACUCCGCCUGGGGAGUACGGCCGCAAAGGCUGA
This 376-nucleotide ribosomal RNA is filed under the name uncultured organism. RNAcentral describes it as "partial 16S ribosomal RNA". It matches the Rfam family "Bacterial small subunit ribosomal RNA", at positions 527 to 897 of the family's 1533-position model. The record is from RNAcentral.